Molecule: ribosomal RNA, 253 nt
Filed under: uncultured bacterium
Lineage: Bacteria
Description: partial 16S ribosomal RNA
Rfam family: Bacterial small subunit ribosomal RNA
Source: RNAcentral
UACGUAGGGUGCGAGCGUUAAUCGGAAUUACUGGGCGUAAAGCGUGCGCAGGCGGCUUUGCAAGACAGAUGUGAAAUCCCCGGGCUCAACCUGGGAACUGCAUUUGUGACUGCAUGGCUAGAGUGCGGCAGAGGGGGAUGGAAUUCCGCGUGUAGCAGUGAAAUGCGUAGAUAUGCGGAGGAACACCGAUGGCGAAGGCAAUCCCCUGGGCCUGCACUGACGCUCAUGCACGAAAGCGUGGGGAGCAAACAGG